UACGAAGGGGGCUAGCGUUGCGCGGAAUCACUGGGCGUAAAGGGUGCGUAGGCGGGUCUUUAAGUCAGGGGGGAAAUCCCUGGGCUCAACCCAGGAACUGCGUCCGAUACUGGAAGGCUUGAAUCCGGGAGAGGGAUGCGGAAUUCCAGGUGUAGCGGUGAAAUGCGUAGAUAUCUGGAGGAACACCGGUGGCGAAGGCGGCAUCCUGGACCGGUAUUGACGCUGAGGCGCGAAAGCCAGGGGAGCAAACGGG
Molecule: ribosomal RNA, 253 nt
Filed under: uncultured bacterium
Lineage: Bacteria
Description: partial 16S ribosomal RNA
Rfam family: Bacterial small subunit ribosomal RNA
Source: RNAcentral